RNAcentral lists this ribosomal RNA (378 nucleotides) under uncultured Methanomicrobiales archaeon. Its description in RNAcentral is "bacterial SSU rRNA". It matches the Rfam family "Archaeal small subunit ribosomal RNA", at positions 959 to 1338 of the family's 1478-position model. The record is from RNAcentral. Lineage: Archaea; Methanobacteriati; Methanobacteriota; Methanomicrobia; Methanomicrobiales.
CUGAAGACUCUACUUGACUAGCUGAGAGAGGUGCAUGGCCGUCGUCAGUUCGUACUGUGAAGCAUCCUGUUAAGUCAGGCAACGAGCGAGACCCACGCCAACAGUUGCCAGCUCGUCCUCCGGGAUGUGGGGACACUGUUGGGACCGCCUCUGCUAAAGAGGAGGAAGGAAUGGGCAACGGUAGGUCAGCAUGCCCCGAAUUAUCUGGGCUACACGCGGGCUACAAUGGGUGGGACAAUGGGUAUCGACACCGAAAGGUGAAGGCAAUCUCCUAAACCCAUCCGUAGUUCGGAUUGUGGGCUGCAACUCGCCCACAUGAAGCUGGAAUCUGUAGUAAUCGUGUCUCAAAAUGGCACGGUGAAUAUGUCCCUGCUCCUU